This 492-nucleotide ribosomal RNA is filed under the name uncultured bacterium. Its description in RNAcentral is "partial 16S ribosomal RNA". It matches the Rfam family "Bacterial small subunit ribosomal RNA", at positions 29 to 507 of the family's 1533-position model. The record is from RNAcentral.
AGUGAACGCUGGCGGUAGGCCUAACACAUGCAAGUCGAACGGCAGCACAGUAAGAGCUUGCUCUUACGGGUGGCGAGUGGCGGACGGGUGAGGAAUACAUCGGAAUCUACUUUUUCGUGGGGGAUAACGUAGGGAAACUUACGCUAAUACCGCAUACGACCUACGGGUGAAAUCAGGGGAUCUUCGCACCUUGCGCGAUUGAAUGAGCCGAUGUCGGAUUAGCUAGUUGGCUGGGUAAAGGCCCACCAAGGCGACGAUCCGUAGCUGGUCUGAGAGGAUGAUCAGCCACACUGGAACUGAGACACGGUCCAGACUCCUACGGGAGGCAGCAGUGGGGAAUAUUGGACAAUGGGCGCAAGCCUGAUCCAGCCAUACCGCGUGGGUGAAGAAGGCCUUCGGGUUGUAAAGCCCUUUUGUUGGGAAAGAAAAGCAGCAGGUUAAUACCCCGCUGUUCUGACGGUACCCAAAGAAUAAGCACCGGCUAACUUCGUG